AGCAUAAUUAACUCCGUAGUCUUACUUUAUUUUAGAGAAUGAAAUUGAUGUAUGAAUGCUUGCAUAGUUAAUGUUAUUGUUAUGCUAAUUGUUAAAAUGUUUAACAAAAGGAUAUUUAUUUGAGCAGUGUUCCACAAAUCGAGUGUUAAAAUGCUGACUGUUCAUAUUAAGGUUAAUUACAUAGUUAGUCUUGAUUCAGUUAAGGUGAUACUACUAUGGAAUUAAAUAUAAACAGAAAAGUACAUGUAUCUGGUCCAAUAAUGGAUCAAAUUUGUGUACUUUUUUUGUUUAUAUUUAAGUCCAAAGAGAACAUCACUUGGACUAGAAGGAAAUUAAAUUGAUAAACAAGAGAAAAAGUUGAAUUAGCGACAGAUAAUUAUAGUCGAAAAAACAUGAAAUUCAGCUUUAAUUUUGUUGCUGAGUGUUAAAGAUGCAAAAAUUGGUGAUUGAUUUCAUUUUCCUUUCUUACUGUUAUUGUACUAAAGUUAAAUGAAAUCUUAUUAUCUUUUUAUACUCUUUUGUACUAAAGUUAAAUGAAAUCUUAUUAUCUUUUUAUACUCUUUUGCAAGUGCUGGUUCCCUUCGGAGUUUGAGACUACCAAG
This 602-nucleotide long non-coding RNA is filed under the name Medicago truncatula (barrel medic). RNAcentral describes it as "long non-coding RNA (MTRU_LNC000906)". Lineage: Eukaryota; Viridiplantae; Streptophyta; Magnoliopsida; Fabales; Fabaceae. The record is from RNAcentral.